Oryza sativa Indica Group (long-grained rice) is the source of this 201-nucleotide microRNA precursor. It matches the Rfam family "MIR812 microRNA precursor family". The record is from Rfam. NCBI's taxonomy places the organism in Eukaryota, Viridiplantae, Streptophyta, Magnoliopsida, Poales, Poaceae.
AAAAAAAUAAACCCUAAGUUUCUGUGUCCAACGUUUGACUGUCUGUCUAUAUGAAAUUUUUUUAUAAUUAGUAUUUUCAUUACUGUUAGAUGAUAAAACAUGAUUAAUACUUUAUGCAUGACUUGUCUUUUUAAUUUUUUUCAUAAUUUUUUUAAAUAAGACGGACGGUCAACGUUACGGAAAUCCAGAGUUUAUCUUUUU